Molecule: ribosomal RNA, 397 nt
Filed under: uncultured bacterium
Lineage: Bacteria
Description: partial 16S ribosomal RNA
Rfam family: Bacterial small subunit ribosomal RNA
Source: RNAcentral
AUACGAAGGGUGCAAGCGUUACUCGGAAUUACUGGGCGUAAAGCGUGCGUAGGUGGUUGUUUAAGUCUGUCGUGAAAGCCCUGGGCUCAACCUGGGAAUGGCGAUGGAAACUGGGCGACUAGAGUGUGGCAGAGGGUAGUGGAAUUCCUGGUGUAGCAGUGAAAUGCGUAGAGAUCAGGAGGAACAUCCGUGGCGAAGGCGACUGCCUGGGCCAACACUGACACUGAGGCACGAAAGCGUGGGGAGCAAACAGGAUUAGAUACCCUGGUAGUCCACGCCCUAAACGAUGCGAACUGGAUGUUGGGUGCAACUUGGCACGCAGUAUCGAAGCUAACGCGUUAAGUUCGCCGCCUGGGGAGUACGGUCGCAAGACUGAAACUCAAAUGAAUUGGCGGGG